UGGCCAUACUAACAUGGAUGCACCCGGUCUCACCUAAUCUCAGACGCUCAGCAUGAUUGGGGCUGGUUAAUACAUGGAAGGCUAAGGUGCAGACG
Molecule: ribosomal RNA, 95 nt
Filed under: Mus pahari (shrew mouse)
Lineage: Eukaryota; Metazoa; Chordata; Mammalia; Rodentia; Muridae
Description: rRNA (MGP_PahariEiJ_G0032691.1)
Source: RNAcentral